UACAGAGGGUGCGAGCGUUAAUCGGAAUUACUGGGCGUAAAGCGUGCGUAGACGGUUAUUUAAGUCGGGUGUGAAAGCCCCGGGCUCAACCUGGGAAUUGCAUUCGAGACUGAAUAGCUAGGGUACGGUAGAGGGAAGCGGAAUUUCCGGUGUAGCGGUGAAAUGCGUAGAUAUUGGAAGGAACAUCAGUGGCGAAAGCGGCUUCCUGGACCAGUACCGACGUUCAGGCACGAAAGCGUGGGGAGCAAACAGG
RNAcentral lists this ribosomal RNA (253 nucleotides) under uncultured bacterium. RNAcentral's name for it is "partial 16S ribosomal RNA". It matches the Rfam family "Bacterial small subunit ribosomal RNA", at positions 524 to 776 of the family's 1533-position model. The record is from RNAcentral.